This 232-nucleotide ribosomal RNA is filed under the name uncultured bacterium. RNAcentral's name for it is "partial 16S ribosomal RNA". It matches the Rfam family "Bacterial small subunit ribosomal RNA", at positions 118 to 347 of the family's 1533-position model. The record is from RNAcentral.
UGAGCAAUCUGCCCUUCACAUCGGAAUAAGCGUUGGAAACGACGUCUAAUGCCGAAUACGACCUCCUUUCGCAUGAUCGGAGGUGGAAAGCUCCGGCGGAGAAGGAUGAGCCCGCGGCCUAUCAGCUAGUUGGUGUGGGUAAUGGCCCACAAGGCGACGACGGGUAGCCGGCCUGAGAGGGUGACCGGCCACACGUGGGACUGAGACACGGCCCAGACCUCCGUACGGGAGG